This 392-nucleotide ribosomal RNA is filed under the name uncultured bacterium. Its description in RNAcentral is "partial 16S ribosomal RNA". It matches the Rfam family "Bacterial small subunit ribosomal RNA", at positions 523 to 918 of the family's 1533-position model. The record is from RNAcentral.
CUACGGAGGAUCCGAGCGUUAUCCGGAUUUAUUGGGUUUAAAGGGUGCGCAGGCGGCCAUUUAAGUCAGCGGUUAAAUCGUGGGGCUCAACCCCAUUCUGCCGUUGAUACUGGGUGGCUUGAUUGCGGUCGAGGUUGGCGGAAUUCGUUGUGUAGCGGUGAAAUGCAUAGAUAUGACGAAGAACACCGAUUGCGUAGGCAGCUGACCAGAUCGCAAAUGACGCUCAUGCACGAAAGUGCGGGGAUCGAACAGGAUUAGAUACCCUGGUAGUCCGCACAGUAAACGAUGAAUACUUGUUUUCGGCGAUAUAAUGUCGGAGGCAAAGCGAAAGCGAUAAGUAUUCCACCUGGGGAGUACGCCGGCAACGGUGAAACUCAAAUGAAUUGACGGGG